Non-coding RNA from Pelobates cultripes (western spadefoot toad), 217 nucleotides. NCBI's taxonomy places the organism in Eukaryota, Metazoa, Chordata, Amphibia, Anura, Pelobatidae. The record is from the annotation of a GenBank genome assembly.
CUUCAGACUGUUUUUUUGCCUUCUUUUGGAUCAACAGCAAAAACAUACGUGAGGAAGGCUGAAUUUGAUGGACGCGAGUCUCUUUUCAGCUAUGUAACUGUAAUGUAACAAUGCUGACACAAGUGGUAACAAGACAACAUGAAAUGGGACUUCACUCCACCAAUUACAACAAGAUGAUCACACUACUAACUAGGCAACCAAUUAUACAAUAAUCUAG